AACGAACGCUGGCGGCAGGCUUAACACAUGCAAGUCGAGCGAGAUCUUCGGAUCUAGCGGCGGACGGGUGAGUAACGCGUGGGAACGUGCCCUUUGCUACGGAAUAGUCCCGGGAAACUGGGUUUAAUACCGUAUGUGCCCUUUGACCUUGGCGGUGAUUGGGGAAAGAUUUAUCGGCAAAGGAUCGGCCCGCGUUGGAUUAGGUAGUUGGUGGGGUAAUGGCCCACCAAGCCGACGAUCCAUAGCUGGUUUGAGAGGAUGAUCAGCCACACUGGGACUGAGACACGGCCCAGACUCCUACGGGAGGCAGCAGUGGGGAAUCUUAGACAAUGGGGGCAACCCUGAUCUAGCCAUGCCGCGUGAGUGAUGAAGGCCUUAGGGUUGUAAAGCUCUUUCAGCUGGGAAGAUAAUGACGGUACCAGCAGAAGAAGCCCCGGCUAACUCCGUGCCAGCCGCCGCCGUAAUAC
Molecule: ribosomal RNA, 467 nt
Filed under: uncultured bacterium
Lineage: Bacteria
Description: bacterial SSU rRNA
Rfam family: Bacterial small subunit ribosomal RNA
Source: RNAcentral